This 263-nucleotide ribosomal RNA is filed under the name uncultured bacterium. Its description in RNAcentral is "partial 16S ribosomal RNA". It matches the Rfam family "Bacterial small subunit ribosomal RNA", at positions 793 to 1055 of the family's 1533-position model. The record is from RNAcentral.
GUCCACGCCGUAAACGAUGGGUGCUAGGUGUGGGGGGUGUCGACUCCCUCCGUGCCGAAGCUAACGCAUUAAGCACCCCGCCUGGGGAGUACGGCCGCAAGGCUAAAACUCAAAGGAAUUGACGGGGGCCCGCACAAGCAGCGGAGCAUGUGGUUUAAUUCGACGCAACGCGAAGAACCUUACCUAGGCUUGACAUGCACGGGAAUGUCGUGGAAACACGGCAGCCCUUCGGGGCUCGUGCACAGGUGUUGCAUGGCUGUCGU